Non-coding RNA from Pelobates cultripes (western spadefoot toad), 72 nucleotides. NCBI's taxonomy places the organism in Eukaryota, Metazoa, Chordata, Amphibia, Anura, Pelobatidae. The record is from the annotation of a GenBank genome assembly.
GACCACGGCACUUCUGACACCAUAACCACUACCGUGUUCUGUAGUGGUUAUGGUGCUUGAAGUUUUUCUUUA